UUGCAGCCCAAUUGCACGAGCUCAGUUGCCCUUUGUUCUGCCGUUCCGGGCUCCGGCUUGAAGCGGCCGACAAAAUUAGGCCCAAUGCCUCAGCCUGCGCACAAGCGCGCGAUCGGGAUGGGGACGGAAGCCCGGCACCGGGAGACGUGGUGGUGGCCGGCGGCCGCGUCGUGAUUGCUGCUCGGUGCCGGCGAUCGCCGCCAUCCACUCCUCAGCGGGUGCCCAUGCCGAAUGGUCUAGUGCUCGGUGCUACGCGCAGGAAGCCGCGGAGUCCCAUCGAGCGCGCAACGCCCUGGGCGUCGCUCUCCCGGAGAUGCCCGCCUUGACGCGCGUGCAUGAGCGCUCGGUACGACGGUGACGCCCAAGCUCCGCGGGCGAAGGCGACGCCCACCUUUGUUCGGGCGCAGGAGGAAGGAGACGUACACUCGCGGGAUUCGCGAGGCGAAGCGGUGCGAGUUCAGGGUCACCACGCAUGCACACCACGUGUUCGAACGAAUGCCAGAUCCAAGGGGUGGCCGUUAGUUGACGCUCCCUAAGUUUUCUCCUUCUCUAUUGUAUCAUGCACUUGAGAUUGAGAGCUCUACUUGUUGUGUGUUGCCGUAUAGUCAGCAGCAAUCUUUUGCUUUAAAGACUAAAAAGCUUUGGCUAUGGCAAGGAGCUAAGGUCCUCCACCACCAGUUUUGAACAUUUAUCUGAAGUGCCAGGCAGAGGAGUUGGAGCUUGCAAUGGAUAGGAUGAAGGACUGCACAUCCCGCUCGGAGUUGGGUGAAGGAUGGCGCUGGCAGGCAAGUCAACCACCAGCGGCAGGGGGCACGUGUGCCGCGCCGCUUUCGGCCGCGCCAACGCCCCGCGCGCCAGGGUGCCUGCAUGCAUUGCGCGGCUCCGUAACUCCGCGCGUACCUUGGACGGGACAAUUCGACAAAGGGCCGGAGUAAGAAAAUACUGCUGCGUCUGAUGUACUCUGCUCUGCGUUUUGGUCUAUCAGGCAGGCCCGGACGGCCGGAGCGGCUCCCGGACAAAGCCUCCGGAUGACGUAGCCGUCGGCAGCCGCGUUGCGGAUGUGACGUCGUUUCUUCAAGUUGUGCUUGCCGCUACAGUACUGCUAAUAAUUUCUUCCAAAUUUACUAUACUAGUACUACAGUUCCACUGAUAUUGAUAUUGACUAUGUACCAGUAUUAUUUCAGGGAAAUGAAAAAGGCCAGUAUUAUUUCAGGGAAAUGAAAAAGGCCCUAUUUGACUUGAUUGAUGUACAUGAUACACCUGCAGGUCGGUUGGAGGAUUUAGAGAUAGGUAAAAGUAAACGUGAUUCUCUUGAUUGUUCUUAAACUUCAAGAUGGUGUGGACAGUAGAUUAAAUCGCACCAGAGAUUAUUUUCUCUUUCUAGAUAA
Phragmites australis (common reed) is the source of this 1388-nucleotide long non-coding RNA. RefSeq lists it as uncharacterized. NCBI's taxonomy places the organism in Eukaryota, Viridiplantae, Streptophyta, Magnoliopsida, Poales, Poaceae. The transcript is spliced from 3 exons. The record is from RefSeq and is a predicted model, not a curated record.